UUGCAUUGCAGAUUAGUGGCGGACGGGUGAGUAACGCGUAGAUAACGUGCCCUUUUACUGGGGAUAACUGUUCGAAAGGACAGCUAAUACCGAAUGUGUUCGUGUUUAGUGAUAUAUACGAAUAAAGUGCCGGCAACGGUGCGUGAGAGGAGCGGUCUGCGUCCUAUUAGUUAGUUGGUGGGGUAAUGGCUUACCAAGACGACGAUGGGUAGCUGGUCUGAGAGGAUGAUCAGCCACACUGGGACUGAGAUACGGCCCAGACUCCUACGGGAGGCAGCAGUGAGGAAUUUUGCUCAAUGGGGGAAACCCUGAAGCAGCGACGCCGCGUGGACGAAGAAGGCCUUCGGGUUGUAAAGUCCUGUCAGUAGGGACGAUAAUGACGGUACCUGCUGAGGAAGCUCCGGCUGACUCCGUGCCAGCAGCCGCGGUAAGACGGAGGGAGCAAGCGUUGUCCGGAAUUAUUGGGCGUAAAGCGCCCGUAGGCGGGAGUUUAAGUCCGGGAGUAAAUAAGCAGGCUCAACCUGCUGAUCAUUCCGGAUACUGGACUUCUUGAGGACAGGAGAGGAAAGCGGAAUUCCUAGUGUAGCGGUGAAAUGCGUAGAUAUUAGGAGGAACACCAGUGGCGAAGGCGGCUUUCUGGCCUGAUCCUGACGCUGAGGAGCGAAAGCCAGGGGAGCGAACGGGAUUAGAUACCCCGGUAGUCCUGGCUGUAAACGAUGGAUACUAGGUGGUAGGAGGUAUCAACCCCUUCUGUGCCGCAGCUAACGCAAUAAGUAUCCUGCCUGGGGGAGUACGGCCGCAAGGUUGAAACUCAAAGGGAAUUGACGGGGGCCCGCACAAGCGGUGGAGCCAUGUGGUUUAAUUCGACGA
This 870-nucleotide ribosomal RNA is filed under the name uncultured bacterium. Its description in RNAcentral is "bacterial SSU rRNA". It matches the Rfam family "Bacterial small subunit ribosomal RNA", at positions 80 to 957 of the family's 1533-position model. The record is from RNAcentral.